CCCCAGCCAGCCACCCACUUCGGAGCACAGGGCUGCCCUUAUAGCACAAUUUGCCAGCCAACGCGGCUGGGGGAGGGGGCGGGGCAGUAUAUCAAGGAGAGACUGGGAUAGGUGCUGAGCGAGUGGAUUGCUUCCCAGCAUUGCAAGACAGCAGGGCUGGGGCUAUUUCCCUGCUGUUUUCCUGGUGCUAAAAUGGACAAGCCUUUCCAAACGGUGCAAGGGGCAGGGCUGCGAGAGGCAGAAGGUGGUAGCGAUCGUCACAGCUCCCUGUUAUCCUAACCCCAAAGACCUCGCCUCCGACGGGUAGGAAUUUCAUUCCUCUCGUCAGCUUCCCUUCAGGCUCCCGCCUCUGUGUCCAAGGGCGGGUCCCCAAGCCCUCAGCGACUGGCCUUUGGGUGUCCACAGGUCCCGCCGUUGCUCCACAAUGAGAUCUUGUACGCACACAUAUAAUCGACAUUGCUGCCCUCCUGCUUAGCAAAGCCCGAACACCCCUUUUCUAGCCGCUGCAGCAAAGGAAAUGAAAACUCCCGCGCUCGGUGUGCGAGCAAGAAAGAUCUUCUCUGGCCAGGGCAAGACCCGCUCUCCUCUGCUUUGUGAGUCUGAUCGGCCGCCUUCUCCAAAAGCCUCCUCGCCAGCCCACGGGACUCCAGAGCAGGCAUUGGGCAAGCAGGCUCUUUGCCACGAAACUGAAUGCCACCAGGUCACCUGCCAUUGGAAAAGCCACUUGGCCUCCCGACCAACUCAUCCCCCCGUCACAAAGCCACGCGGGGAACAAGGCAGUGAGCGUCACAAAGCUAUUUAGAUUCCGAAGACUGCCACCCCCUCGUUAUCAAUGGUCACCAUGUUCUAGAAUCUUGGCCACGUUCUCUUGGGAAGCAUGGAGCUGAGUAAGUAGGUCUGCAGAAGGCCUUAAUUGUAGGGGCAAAGAAGGGGAAGCAAAUUCUGUAAAUAACGAAACUCCACAGCAGGAUGGCCCCUCUUUUAGUGGAGGUGAAGAAAGAGAGGAGCCAGUAUUCCAGAGGUCACCUCACUUUAGAUUUACCAAGCCAGCUGAGAAGAGAAUCAACUCUAAGAGACUGCCAGCAGCGCCCGUAAUUUACAUUGUCUUCCUCCCUGCUUCACUGUGGACCCAGGAUCUUGGAACAUUUGCCUGGGUCUUUAUCUGCUGUCUUGCUGAUCGCAAAAAACAUCAUUGUCUCAUUUUACACCAGUCAACUAAGCGAGUGCCAGUGGAAUAAAAUCCACAAAGUACACACAUAACUGCUCUCUGGCUAAAGAAGUCUGUUCCUUGCAAGCUGUAAAGGCCUGCAAAUUAAAUACCAGUUACUGAGGGCCAUAAAAUGCUUUUUAUUGCACAAAGUCUACUUAAAACAGAAGAGAAUAGACCUUUUAUUUUCAGGACGGGAAAGAAGGGUGGGUCCCGAAGACAUAUAUUGGCAAAGAAAUAAUACAUACAGUGCCUGAAUAGAGGCAUAGUGGAGAAAUUCUAUCGCCUUCGGGAGACAGGUUUUUCUCGUGGCAUACAGAGGCGGUGUUAUGCAAAGGUGGCUAUGAUGGGGCUUAUUGCAGUUCCCUUUUUAUAGAAAGAAAGAAAGAAAGAAAGAAAGAAAGAAAGAAAGAAAGAAAGAAAGAAAGAAAGAAAAACUCACUCUGCACUAAGUGCCGUUUGGCAAGCAUCCUGAUGUGCCAAUGCGAUUCCAAAAAGCAUCGACGUGAUAGUUUGGCAUGACGAAAAUGAUGGCUCUAAAAUACUGUUGAUGGAAACCACAAGUCGUAAGCAAGUGCUGAUUAAACUCCAGGCGAAUGUAUCCUUUCGGGAGGAGGAAUGACCAGACCUUUACACUCUGGAUCUGGUACGACGAGUUGCAACAAGCAGUGACUUUUAAUAAAACUUAUAGUGGGUAA
Pelodiscus sinensis (Chinese soft-shelled turtle) is the source of this 1905-nucleotide long non-coding RNA. RefSeq lists it as uncharacterized. NCBI's taxonomy places the organism in Eukaryota, Metazoa, Chordata, Testudines, Trionychidae. The record is from RefSeq and is a predicted model, not a curated record.